CCUACGGGUGGCAGCAGUGGGGAAUAUUGGACAAUGGGGGCAACCCUGAUCCAGCCAUGCCGCGUGUGUGAAGAAGGCCCUCGGGUUGUAAAGCACUUUCAGUGAGGAAGAACGCCUGGUGGUUAAUACCCAUCAGGAAAGACAUCACUCACAGAAGAAGCACCGGCUAACUCCGUGCCAGCAGCCGCGGUAAUACGGAGGGUGCGAGCGUUAAUCGGAAUUACUGGGCGUAAAGCGCGCGUAGGUGGCUUGAUAAGCCGGUUGUGAAAGCCCCGGGCUCAACCUGGGAACGGCAUCCGGAACUGUCAAGCUAGAGUGUAGGAGAGGAAGGUAGAAUUCCCGGUGUAGCGGUGAAAUGCGUAGAGAUCGGGAGGAAUACCAGUGGCGAAGGCGGCCUUCUGGACUGACACUGACACUGAGGUGCGAAAGCGUGGGUAGCAAACAGGAUCAGAUACCCCUGUAGUC
RNAcentral lists this ribosomal RNA (465 nucleotides) under Vreelandella stevensii. Its description in RNAcentral is "partial 16S ribosomal RNA". It matches the Rfam family "Bacterial small subunit ribosomal RNA", at positions 338 to 795 of the family's 1533-position model. Lineage: Bacteria; Pseudomonadati; Pseudomonadota; Gammaproteobacteria; Oceanospirillales; Halomonadaceae. The record is from RNAcentral.